This 522-nucleotide ribosomal RNA is filed under the name Yarrowia lipolytica. Its description in RNAcentral is "partial large subunit ribosomal RNA". It matches the Rfam family "Eukaryotic large subunit ribosomal RNA", at positions 68 to 664 of the family's 3401-position model. The record is from RNAcentral. Lineage: Eukaryota; Fungi; Ascomycota; Dipodascomycetes; Dipodascales.
CCAAGGGAUGCCUCAGUAACGGCGAGUGAAGCGGCAAAAGCUCAAAUUUGAAACCCUCGGGAUUGUAAUUUGAAGAUUUGGCAUUGGAGAAAGCUAACCCAAGUUGCUUGGAAUAGUACGUCAUAGAGGGUGACAACCCCGUCUGGCUAACCGUUCUCCAUGUAUUGCCUUAUCAAAGAGUCGAGUUGUUUGGGAAUGCAGCUCAAAGUGGGUGGUAAACUCCAUCUAAAGCUAAAUACUGGUGAGAGACCGAUAGCGAACAAGUACUGUGAAGGAAAGGUGAAAAGAACUUUGAAAAGAGAGUGAAAUAGUAUGUGAAAUUGUUGAUAGGGAAGGAAAUGAGUGGAGAGUGGCCGAGGUUUCAGCCGCCCCUCGUGGGCGGUGUACUGCCGACGCCGAGUCAUCGAUAGCGAGACGAGGGUUACAAAUGGGAGCGCCUUUCGGGCGUUCUCCCCUAACCCUCCACACUGCCACCGACGACAUAAUCCACCCAUUUCACCCGUCUACCACCCGGGAACCAAA